Molecule: ribosomal RNA, 253 nt
Filed under: uncultured Legionella sp.
Lineage: Bacteria; Pseudomonadati; Pseudomonadota; Gammaproteobacteria; Legionellales; Legionellaceae
Description: partial 16S ribosomal RNA
Rfam family: Bacterial small subunit ribosomal RNA
Source: RNAcentral
UACGGAGGGUGCGAGCGUUAAUCGGAAUUACUGGGCGUAAAGGGUGCGUAGGUGGUAGAUUAAGUUAUGUGUAAAAUCCCUGGGCUUAACCUGGGCAGGUCAUAUAAAACUGAUUUACUCGAGUAUGGGAGAGGGUAGUGGAAUUUCCGGUGUAGCGGUGAAAUGCGUAGAGAUCGGAAGGAACACCAGCGGCGAAGGCGGCUACCUAGCCUAAUACUGACACUGAGGCACGAAAGCGUGGGGAGCAAACAGG